RNAcentral lists this ribosomal RNA (211 nucleotides) under uncultured bacterium. RNAcentral's name for it is "partial 16S ribosomal RNA". It matches the Rfam family "Bacterial small subunit ribosomal RNA", at positions 1290 to 1500 of the family's 1533-position model. The record is from RNAcentral.
AGUUCGGAUUGUAGUCUGCAACCCGACUACAUGAAGCUGGAAUCGCUAGUAAUCGCGAAUCAGAAUGUCGCGGUGAAUACGUUCCCGGGUCUUGUACACACCGCCCGUCACACCAUGGGAGUCGGAAAUGCCCGAAGUCAGUGACCUAACCGAAAGGGAGGAGCUGCCGAAGGUGGAGCCGGUAACUGGGGUGAAGUCGUAACAAGGUAUC